UACGGAGGGUGCAAGCGUUAUCCGGAUUCACUGGGCUUAAAGGGUGCGUAGGCGGGCAGGUAAGUCAGUGGUGAAAUCCUUGAGCUUAACUCGAGAACUGCCAUUGAUACUAUCUGUCUUGAAUAUUGUGGAGGUAAGCGGAAUAUGUCAUGUAGCGGUGAAAUGCUUAGAUAUGACAUAGAACACCUAUUGCGAAGGCAGCUUACUACGCAUAUAUUGACGCUGAGGCACGAAAGCGUGGGGAUCAAACAGG
Molecule: ribosomal RNA, 253 nt
Filed under: uncultured bacterium
Lineage: Bacteria
Description: partial 16S ribosomal RNA
Rfam family: Bacterial small subunit ribosomal RNA
Source: RNAcentral